RNAcentral lists this ribosomal RNA (400 nucleotides) under uncultured bacterium. RNAcentral describes it as "partial 16S ribosomal RNA". It matches the Rfam family "Bacterial small subunit ribosomal RNA", at positions 338 to 755 of the family's 1533-position model. The record is from RNAcentral.
CCUACGGGAGGCAGCAGUGGGGAAUAUUGCACAAUGGGGGAAACCCUGAUGCAGCGACGCCGCGUGAGUGAAGAAGUAUUUCGGUAUGUAAAGCUCUAUCAGCAGGGAAGAAAAAGACGGUACCUGAUUAAGAAGCCACGGCGAACUACGGGCCAGCAGCCGCGGUAAUACGUAGGGGGCAAGCGUUAUCCGGAUUUACUGGGUGUAAAGGGAGCGUAGACGGCAGCACAAGUCUGGAGUGAAAUGCCGGGGCUUAACCCCGGACCUGCUUUGGAAACUGUGCAGCUAGAGUGCAGGAGAGUUAAGUGGCAUUCCUAGUGUAGCGGUUAUAUUCGUAGAUAUUAGGAGGAACACCAGUUGCGCAGGCGGCUUACUGGACUGUACCUGCCGUUGAGGCUCG